GGCCGGACCGCCUCGUGCUGCUCCCCGUCGCCGUCCGUCCAUGGCGGCGGCGGCAGCCUCCCCCUCACCCUCCGCGUCCUCCAAGCCCCGUCUCACAUCUCAGCACAGCCACGGCCACCGCGGAGGAUGAUUGAUCAUUCCCCUCCAUUCUCCCCCAAAUCUCUACUCCUCGUCGGGCGCAGCAGGCCGUCCAUGGGCGGCAUCGAGGCAUCCAGCCAGGCCUUCCCGCCAGGACGAGGAUGUAAGGAAUGUUUAGACAGUGCACCAAAAGGAAGUUGAGAAAUUUAGACAGUUGCUAUCGGGAAUUUUCACUGAGCUUACCAGCUUUGAUGAGCAGCAGUAGGCACAAAGUGGUGCUUCUGGCUUAUCAGCUAUGUAGCACGAGUGGUUCUGCAAGUGCCGCGUGGAAGGCCAAAGAAUUGACUGAACUAAGGGCCGCCGGCAGAAUUGACUGCUUCAGAAACAUCUCUACGAGUGGCUGAGACGCGCAGAGAGGAAGGCCAGACAAGAGUCAUCUAUAUUGGCUGCUUUAAGUUUCACUCUCUUGUGGUCCCUCUUCGUCUGCGCUAUGGAGGUGGUGGAGGGGAAGCAACGCGCAGAGAGGAAGGCCAGACAAUAGUCGAUGAUGUGCAUUAGAUCUUCUUGCAUCAGAUCUUGAAAGCAAGGAAGGAAGCCAUCCAGGCACCUUCAUGCGUGCUUCCGUCUUUCAGAUCUUGGGGUGUUUGCCCAGCAGAACAUGUUGGUAGGCUAAAGAGCUGCCACUGAAGACAGUGAGAGAGGUGGGUAACCCCCCUCAACUGUGUGAUUUCCUACAGAAUAUGAAUAUUUUAUUGUUACUAUUUAACUUGUGAGUUUUGUUUAUUGCUUCUUAAAAAACCCUUCUGAUGCACUGGUACUAGCACAUUUUUUUCCAAACAUGUUUUUUUCAAGGUCAUAGAGCAUUGUCCUACCUUUGUAGUUAAUAAAUUAAAAUCAAGAGUAACUCGACUGUGUGACUCAGGACGAUACAUUUUAUCAUGUUACGCCUUUCUAAAUAUUUUAUUCUAACUUGUACCUUUUCUCCAAAGUUCUGUGCUGUUGGUUCAACAUGUGGAGUUCCGUUAUGUACUGUUGUUUCUGUCCUUAACAGAUGGCUGGUAGGGAGGAUGGAGAUUAAGAUGGGUUUCUGUUAUGUUCUAUUAAGAUGGUUUUUCUUAGCAGACUGUGGAUUAGAACUCACUGCUCUGUUAUUGAGGAUGUAAGAAAUUUUGUUGUAGUGCACGAAAGGAAGUCGAGAAAAUGAGACUGUUGUUGGGAGUUUUCAGCGGGCUUACCAACUUUGACAAGUUAAAACAUGUUAUGUUAUUAACGUGCUCACGGUCUACUGUACUUCACUAAAUUAAAAAAAAAAGGGCAACCUGGUGCAUGUAGCUCCUGCUUGCGCAGGGUUCAGGGAAGGGUCCGACCACUUUGGGUCUAUAGUACGCAGCCUUUCCCUACAUUUCUCAUUUCUGUAAGAGGCUGUUUCCAGGACUUGAACCCAUGACCUUAUGGUCACAAGGCAGCAGCUUUACCACUGCGCCAAGGCUCCCCUUCUCUAUACUUCACUAAAUUGACUUGUCUUAAUUUCUUUUGACUCUUUCUAGUAAAUUCGUUU
Triticum aestivum (bread wheat) is the source of this 1636-nucleotide long non-coding RNA. RefSeq lists it as uncharacterized. The transcript is spliced from 3 exons. The record is from RefSeq and is a predicted model, not a curated record. Lineage: Eukaryota; Viridiplantae; Streptophyta; Magnoliopsida; Poales; Poaceae.